Molecule: long non-coding RNA, 227 nt
Filed under: Vigna radiata
Lineage: Eukaryota; Viridiplantae; Streptophyta; Magnoliopsida; Fabales; Fabaceae
Description: long non-coding RNA (VRAD_LNC004403)
Source: RNAcentral
UGAGUGAAGAAUCACGACCCCUUAUAUGACAUGAUUUGCUUAAAGGUCUUAGUUAGUGGUGUGACAAAUACAUAAGAUUAGAGAAGAUUCAUGAUUGACUAGGACAACUAAGGAAGUUUUUGAUAUUUAUAAAGAAUUGUUUUUUAUUAAAAAAUUAUUUUAUAGAAAUGGAAAAUUUUUAAAAGCACAAUUUAAUUAAUUCAUUCCUUGUUGGUUUUACCCUCGCA